AUGAGGCCGGUGUUCUGCGGCAACUUCGACUACGAGACGCGGCAAUCGGACCUGGAGCGCCUCUUCUCAAAGUACGGACCCAUCCGCCGCAUCGACAUGAAAUCCGGCUACGCCUUUGUCUACUUCCAAGACGAGCGCGAUGCGGAGGAUGCUAUAAGGCGCCUUAGCAACGCCGAGUUUGGCCAUACCAGCCGCAGGCUCUCCGUCGAAUGGUCAAGGCAAGAGGAGCCGGUGCCCAAGAACCGCGACAGGCCUACAGGGGCUGAUGCAAAGCCCACCAGGACGCUCUUUGUUAUCAACUUUGACCCCAUCCGCACCAAAGUCGUUGAUAUCGAGAGGCAUUUUGAGCCCUACGGCAAGAUUGCAAACAUUCGUAUCCGCAAGAACUUUGCUUUCGUGCAGUACGAGGCGCAGGAGGACGCCAGCGUAGCCGUCAACAAGACCGACAAGAGCACGAUAUUGGACAGGGUAGUGACGGUUGAAUACGCCUUCCGGGAUGAUGACAAUGAAAGAGAUGACAGACAUGGCAGUCCCAGGCGAGGCGGUGACAGAUACGGCAGCCCGAGACGAGGGGGUGACAGAUAUGGCAGUCCCAGACGAGGCGGUGACAGAUAUGGCAGUCCAAAAAGAGCUGACCAGGGCAGGCGUCCCUACGUGCGCUCCCCUAGCCCUAGGUACCGAAGUCCAGAUUACGAUCGCCGUCCACGUAAUUCUGGGUAUGAUCGCCGCGAUGGAGCACCCUAUGGUAGGAGCCGAAGCCCUGUGUAUGAUCAUUAUGAAAGAGGCAGGAGCCCCGGCUAUGGUCGUUAUUAG
This 813-nucleotide ribosomal RNA is filed under the name Triticum aestivum (bread wheat). RNAcentral describes it as "partial small subunit ribosomal RNA". Lineage: Eukaryota; Viridiplantae; Streptophyta; Magnoliopsida; Poales; Poaceae. The record is from RNAcentral.